Molecule: transfer RNA, 92 nt
Filed under: Candidatus Spyradenecus faecavium
Lineage: Bacteria; Pseudomonadati; Lentisphaerota; Lentisphaeria; Lentisphaerales; Lentisphaeraceae
Description: tRNA-Ser
Rfam family: tRNA
About the family: Transfer RNA (tRNA) molecules are approximately 80 nucleotides in length. Their secondary structure includes four short double-helical elements and three loops (D, anti-codon, and T loops). Further hydrogen bonds mediate the characteristic L-shaped molecular structure. tRNAs have two regions of fundamental functional importance: the anti-codon, which is responsible for specific mRNA codon recognition, and the 3' end, to which the tRNAs corresponding amino acid is attached (by aminoacyl-tRNA synthetases). tRNAs cope with the degeneracy of the genetic code in two manners: having more than one tRNA (with a specific anti-codon) for a particular amino acid; and 'wobble' base-pairing, i.e. permitting non-standard base-pairing at the 3rd anti-codon position.
Source: RNAcentral
GGAGAGGUGGCCGAGUGGCCGAAGGCAACGGUUUGCUAAAUCGUCGUGUUCCGCAAGGGGCACCGAGGGUUCGAAUCCCUCCCUCUCCGCCA